CUGGGUGGUGCAAAUGAUUAAUGCGUUCAGCUGCUAACUGAAAGGCUGACAGUUCAAGUCCACCCAGA
Molecule: transfer RNA, 68 nt
Filed under: Loxodonta africana (African savanna elephant)
Lineage: Eukaryota; Metazoa; Chordata; Mammalia; Proboscidea; Elephantidae
Rfam family: tRNA
About the family: Transfer RNA (tRNA) molecules are approximately 80 nucleotides in length. Their secondary structure includes four short double-helical elements and three loops (D, anti-codon, and T loops). Further hydrogen bonds mediate the characteristic L-shaped molecular structure. tRNAs have two regions of fundamental functional importance: the anti-codon, which is responsible for specific mRNA codon recognition, and the 3' end, to which the tRNAs corresponding amino acid is attached (by aminoacyl-tRNA synthetases). tRNAs cope with the degeneracy of the genetic code in two manners: having more than one tRNA (with a specific anti-codon) for a particular amino acid; and 'wobble' base-pairing, i.e. permitting non-standard base-pairing at the 3rd anti-codon position.
Source: Rfam by way of RNAcentral